RNAcentral lists this ribosomal RNA (504 nucleotides) under uncultured bacterium. RNAcentral describes it as "partial 16S ribosomal RNA". It matches the Rfam family "Bacterial small subunit ribosomal RNA", at positions 30 to 523 of the family's 1533-position model. The record is from RNAcentral.
AUUGAACGCUGGCGGCAGGCCUAACACAUGCAAGUCGAACGGUAGCACAGAGAGCUUGCUCUCGGGUGACGAGUGGCGGACGGGUGAGUAACGUCUGGGAAACUGCCCGAUGGAGGGGGAUAACUACUGGAAACGGUAGCUAAUACCGCAUAACGUCGCCAGACCAAAGUGGGGGACCUUCGGGCCUCACACCAUCGGAUGUGCCCAGAUGGGAUUAGCUAGUAGGUGGGGUAAUGGCUCACCUAGGCGACGAUCCCUAGCUGGUCUGAGAGGAUGACCAGCCACACUGGAACUGAGACACGGUCCAGACUCCUACGGGAGGCAGUAGUGGGGAAUAUUGCACAAUGGGCGCAAGCCUGAUGCAGCCAUGCCGCGUGUAUGAAGAAGGCCUUCGGGUUGUAAAGUACUUUCAGCGGGGAGGAAGGCGGUGAAGUUAAUAACUUCACCGAUUGACGUUACCCGCAGAAGAAGCACCGGCUAACUCCGUGCCAGCAGCCGCCGCGG